AGAAGUACCGCAUUGUUCCCAGAUCUUUCACUUCAAAUUUGGUGGCAAGGCUCUUUUUCAGUCUUUCCAUUUCCACUACAUUGUCUCCUGUUAAAUUUAUAUCAUCAACAUAUACUAUUAAGAAUGUCUUAGUCCCGUCUUCAAAAUGUUGAAGAAACAUAGUGUGAUCUAACUGUCCCUAUCGAUAUCCUUGACCUUUCAACACCUUUGCAAAUCUAUUAAACCAUGCCCUUAGUGAGUGUUUGAAUCCAUAUAAAGAUUUAUUGAGUUUGCAUACCCAAUUUUUCUCAUUCAUUUUACAAAACCCCGGUGGUAAUAUCGUGAAAACUUCUUCUUCCAGUUCUCCGUUUAAAAAUGCAUUUUUAAUGUCUAGUUGUUGAAGUGGCCAAUCCAAAUUUGCAGCUAAUGAUAGAAGAACUCGAAUUGUAUUCAAUUUUGCUACUGGUGCAAAUGUUUCCGUGUAGUCGAUGCCAUAUGUUUGUGUGUAUCCUUUUGCAACCAAUCGAGCUUUAUAUCGUUCAAUAGUCCCAUCAGCUUUGUAUUUCACAUUAAAAAUCCAUUUGCACCCAACCGGUCUCUUCCCUUUUGGUAGGUCCAAUACUUCCCAAGUUUCAUUUUUCUCCGGCGCUCUCAUUUCCUCCAAUAUUGACUCUCUCCAUUUAGGAAUCUCCAAAGCUUCUUUGAUAUUUUUUGGGAUUUCUGUACUGUCCAGAUGAGAUGUGAGAGCUCAAAAUUCAGUAGAUAAGGUAUUAUAAGACAUGGAUUUUGAAAUAGGAUGGAGAGUACAUGACCGAGUUUGCUUUCUAAGAGCAAUGGGUAAAUCUGAAGUUUUUGAUGCUUCGUGAGGAUGUAGAGCUAUCAUCGGGUCCGACUCUUUUGGUGCUUAGGAUGUGAGAGUCUCCUUGUACUUUGAUUUUGGCUUUCAUGAAUAGACUAGUAUCUCUUUAUCAUUUUAUUUUUCUACAUAUCCCCCUGAGUUUAAGUUCCUUACUGUAAAUGGCAUAUUCAAUAGUGAAAUAGGUUUUAUGGGUGGUGUAGGUUCAGGAGGAGAAAGAUCGAAAUCCAAGAACCGAUCUUUAUGUAAGUUCUCCCCCUGAAGAGAGGUUUUUCCAAAAUAUGGUUUAGUUUCGAAGAAGGUAACAUCCAGGCUGACAAAGAGUCUUUUUGUAGAGGGAUCAUAACAUUUGUAACCUUUUUAAGUAGGGGAAUACCCAAUCAAUACACAUUUAAUAGCUCGAGGAUCAAGUUUACUUCUGUGAUGGGAGUGGAUAUGGACAAAAGCGGUACAUCCAAAUACUCUUAGUGAUAUAUUAGAGUUGAGACGAGAGGUUGGAAAGAACUUUUGAAAUUUUUGGAGGGGUGAUUCGAAGUUAAGAGUACGACUCGACAUUCUGUUGAUUAGGUAGGUAG
Molecule: long non-coding RNA, 1410 nt
Filed under: Olea europaea subsp. europaea
Lineage: Eukaryota; Viridiplantae; Streptophyta; Magnoliopsida; Lamiales; Oleaceae
Source: RNAcentral